RNAcentral lists this ribosomal RNA (376 nucleotides) under uncultured bacterium. RNAcentral describes it as "bacterial SSU rRNA". It matches the Rfam family "Bacterial small subunit ribosomal RNA", at positions 521 to 896 of the family's 1533-position model. The record is from RNAcentral.
UAAGACGAACUGCCCAAACGUUGUUCGGAAUCACUGGGCUUAAAGGGCGCGUAGGCGGCAUGUCAAGUCAGGGGUGAAAUCCGGCAGCUCAACUGUCGAAGUGCCUUUGAUACUGACGUGCUCGAGGGAGGUAGGGGUGUGUGGAACUUCUGGUGGAGCGGUGAAAUGCGUUGAUAUCAGAAGGAACGCCGGUGGCGAAAGCGACGCACUGGACCUCUUCUGACGCUGAGGCGCGAAAGCUAGGGGAGCAAACGGGAUUAGAUACCCCGGUAGUCCUAGCCCUAAACGUUGAGUACUAGAUAGUAGACUUAUCAUGGGUUUACUGUCGAAGCAAAAGUUUUAAGUACUCCGCCUGGGGAGUAUGGUCGCAAGGCUG